AUGCCUCUCGUGCUCCUCUCCUGCAACUCUCCUGCUCCUGUUCCUCUCCUGUUCUUGCUCCUCUCCUGCUCCUCUCCAGCUCCUGCUCCUCUCCUUCUCUUGUUCAUCUCUUCCUCCACAACUGGUCCUCUCCUGCUCCUCUCGUGCUCCUGCUCUUCCUUCUCUCAUGCUCCUGCUCCCCUCCUGCUACUCUCCUACCCCUGCUCCUCUCCUUCUCCUGUUCCUCUCCUUCUCCUCUCCUGCUUCUCUCCUGUUCCUGCACCUGCACUUCUCCUGCACCUGCUCCUGCUUCGGCUCCUGCACCUCUCCCACUCCUGCUCCUCUCCCGCUUCUGUCCUGUUUCUUCUCCUGCUCCUUCUCCUCUCCUGCUCUUGGUGUUCUCCAGCUCUUCUGCUCUUGCUCCUCUCCUGCUCUUGCUCCUCCUCCUGCUCCUCUCCUCCUCCUGCUCCUUUCAUGGUCCUCUCCUGCACAUUUCCUGCUCCUGCUUUUUUUCUGCUCCUGCUCCACUCCUGCUCCUGCUUCUGCUCCUCACCUACUCCUGCUCCUCUCCAGCUCCAGCUCCUGGUACUACUCCCCUCCUGCACCUCCCCUACUCCUUUCCUGCUCCUGCUCAUUCUCCUGCUCCUCUCUGGCUCAUGCACUAAGCCUGCUUCUGCUCCUUUCUUCUUCAUUCAACUAAUCCUUGCCUGCUCAUGCUCCUUCUUGUCUCCUGCUCCUGCUCCUCUCCUACUCUUGUUCCUCUCAUGCUCCUCCCCUGUAACUUUUCUGCUCCUGCUCCUCUCCUACUCUUGCUCCACUCCUGCUCCUACUCCUCACCUGCUCCUGCUCCUCUCCUGCUCUGGCUCAUGCACUACUCUUGCUCCUCCUCCUCACUUGUUCAUGCAACUGCUCAUUGCCUGCUCAUGCUCCACUCCUGAACCUCUCCUGUCCCUGCUCCUACUCCACUCCUGCUCUUGCUCCUCUCCUGAUCUUGCUCCUGCUCUCUCCUGUUCCUGCUCCACUCCUGCCCCUUCUCUCCUUCCCUUGCUCCUCUCCUUCUUCUGCUCCUGCUCGUCUCCUGCUCCUGCUCUUGCUCUUGCUAUUCUCGUGCUCUUCUUCUGCUCCUCUCCUGUUCUUGCUUCUUUUUUGCUUCUCUCCUGCUCCUGA
Molecule: long non-coding RNA, 1146 nt
Filed under: Canis lupus dingo (dingo)
Lineage: Eukaryota; Metazoa; Chordata; Mammalia; Carnivora; Canidae
Description: lncRNA (ENSCAFG00020015095.1)
Source: RNAcentral